AGGGGGGGGGGGGGGUUAGGGGAGGGCAGAUUAACAACUACAAUUAAUACCACAGAAGAGUGUUAACAACAUUACAGGCUUAUUACUAUAAUUGAUGCUCUCUAAAGAAUGCUAAUACAUACACAUGUCAAACAAAUUCAAUUAUAAAUACAGAUCAAUACUCUUAAUCAAAAGGCACAGGUUGAUAAUUUCAAAUAGAGCAUUCAAAAAAUAUUGACAGAAAUUCAGAGCAAUAAUUUCAUAGUUGGGGCUCUUACAGGUACUACCAGAGAUGUUAGACUACAAAUCAGAGUUUCUAAAGCAUUAAUAAAGUUAUAGAUUCUCAACCUAUAAUAGAACUUCUAAGAACAUCAAUAGGAUUACAAAUUAGCAAGUUGCAAUCAGAUCCAAUGGAACUUAGUAGCAAUGUUUCAGCUAAACAAAUGUAUCAUCAUAACCCGAACACAUCUCAUCCUUACAUUCAUGUCUUAAGCUAAAUAUAAGGUAAUCCUAGAAUAUAUAUAUAUAUAUAUAUAUAUAUAUAUAUAUAAGUGAUACAAAGAUUCAACUAGCUUAGGACAGGUUUUCAUAAAUAGUCAUGAGUUUACUCAAGUAAAUAAUGGAAUCACCGAGGUAUAUUAAAGAUGUAAAACAGGUGUAAAGGUCAUAAGCUAAUGCCUUAGUGCUAUGGUAACAGGGUUUAGAUUUUUACUGACCUUCUUUGGGGCAGCAAACCAAAAGAAUGUUCAAAUUACCCUUUCAGGAGUCCAAGAGCUCAAGCUCUAAAUCAGUACUAAGCUCAGAAUUAGAAAAGAAAUAAAAAGUAGAAAUUGGUCGAGAACAUAGACUUUAAUAGAAAUUUCCAAACAACUAUUAAAUUCUCCUAUAUAAAGUGUGUAUUGUUGUGUGUUAGAUGAAAUACUAAAAAGCCCCAAUUUAUAGUGGCUGUGAAGCCUUAGGGUUUUCGAUUGAAAACACGGUAGUGGAGAGUGACGAUGAACUUAUGAUGUGAGCAACAUCGAGUAAAAUCAGAGAAGAAAGAGGUGAGAACAGUGAAAGUUUUUACCUGAGAUAGAGAAAUUGUCCGUUGAAAGCAAAAACCACUAAAUAAAAGGCCCAAUGUCCAUAGGUCACUACGCUUGACCUCUGGACCAAGAAUAAUGAUGAUAACACUGUAAAGUUGCCAUACAUGCCACUAAUUUGAUAGAGCACAAGAAAUCUCUGAUGAUUCGACCUUGCAUCAAUUGGUCUAGGAUUUCGAAUUUGGGAAUUUUGAAAUUCAACCAAUUAAAUGGAAAGAAAACCAUAUGCUUCUUAGCCUAGAGACAAAGUGAGUGAUUCUGCAAGUUCGAUAUGAGAGAACAAAGAUGAAAUGAUAUUUUGGUUCUAAGGUUUAAAUUCUGGUAUUUCAGAUUUGAUGAAUGAAAGAGGAAAUAGCAGCAGGAUUUGUGGAUACAGAAUCAGGAAAGAUGAUUUGCUGAGAAAUUUCAUGACCUUGAACGAAUUUGUGCAAGGUAUGUUGAUUGAUGUGCAUGAGAGGUUGAGAGAAGAGUGAACGAAAUGGGAAAUAAAGAGGGUGUGUGAGUGAAAAAAGAUUUAGGGUUGGGGGGGAUGGGGGUGGCCGUCUCUAGGUUAAGGUCGAGUAUUGAAUCUGGACCGUUGAUAUUUUAGAUCAACGGUCCUGAUAUUUAGGGAUGAAAUCUAUAUCGUGGGAAAGUUUGGUGGCCGUUGGAUCCUUGUGAUCCAACGGUUAGGAUUAGAUCUCUGGGUGUUUAAAAAUUAAAGAGAAAAUAGAGUAAAAAAUCAUGGGCCAUUGAUCUAAAAAAUAUACGGCCUGAAUUAGUUGUGUUUAUUUUUUGUGUGUGGGAGACGGGUGACGUGGCAAUCUCUGAUUGGUUCGUGGAGAUUUGGGGUGGAUUGCCAAGGUAGGGGAUGUUUGGACUGGGUAUUUCCGGAUUGGACUUGUCAUUUGAGCCAAAUAAAUUUAAGAGAUAGCCACUUUGUAUUUAAUAGUGAAUUGCAAUUGUAGGCUUUAGCCACUUUUAAUCCCUUUUGAAAUUAAAUUACAUAAAAUUAAUUAUUUUCAAUAAAUUAAAAUUAUAAUUAUCAUAUACACUAUUAAUUAUUGUAAAAUAAUUAACCAUAAAAUACCAUAUUUUCCAAAACUAUGAUAUUAGUUUCGAAUUAUUGAAAUGAUUGACCAAUUAACUAAAACUCGAAGAAUAACUAAUUAAACUAAUUGUAAGACCCAUGCAAUAUAUAUAUAUAUAUAUAUAUAUAUAUAUAUAUAUAUAUAUAGUAGGUAUGAUAUAUUUACAAUUACAAUUAUAAAAAUUGAAUUAUCAAUUUCAAAAUUACUAAUACCAAAUUAAUUUUGUAAGAAUAGAUGUUAUUGAUAUAAAAUAUAUUUAAAAUAUUCAUUGUAAGUUAUUAAGUAUAAAUAAAUUAAUUUUGAAUGGGAGGGUCAAAAUUGGUCGUCAACAACUGCCCUCUUUGACCGGAGACGAUGAAAGAAUUUUCGGGCAAAGAAAUUGAACCAAAGCCAAUUUUGUCCCAAUUGUAGGCAUACAUUGCAGGAAUAGUUCGAAGAUUAUGAGGUAUAGGAUUAGUAAGAUUUCAGGAGAAUUUUGGGGAGUUGGGGCCCCGUUCUGGCUUUGAAUUGCUUACAUACCUCGGGCUCAAACAGGAUCGAGCUUCAUUUUGUUCUGGAGUGAAGACGUUGAGGAAGCGAUGCUCUCAUGAAUUUUUCCAGUAUCGUAUUAGGACGAUACUGCGAGACGGAACAUUCAGCAUCAUGAUUGCUUUGAAUUUGUGGCUUGAUUUGAAAGAUUUGAAGAAUUAGAAUUCUACUGACCGUUUUGAGUUUGAGCUCGGAUCCUUGGAUCGCUAAUGAGUUUGUUGUUCCACAUUGCGAUGUUUGUUCCUGCAAAAAGAAUGAAAUACGCACAUAUUGUUGCUCAAAAACUCGCACGCAAGUAUACGUGGUCGACAAGUAAUAUAGGAUAAUAAGUGUAGAUAUCGUACCCACAGGGACUUGUGAUUAACUAUCAACUAAAUCAAACCCAAAUAAUUAAUCCAUUCAAGCGAUUUUCUAAAGUAUAAAUAUUUAAUUAAAACUAAUCUAGAGUGGCAAACUAAGAGAUUAAAGGAAACAAGAUGGCGAAAUUAGACACAAAUUCAAUAAGAGCCGAUAUUCUAGAGCUAUGGGUUAGCUAACAUUCCUGUUGAGUCUUUUACUUAAAUUGUCUAAUUAAUUUUUCUGGUUUAUUGGUUGACAUGGUUAAUAUUACUCGUAGCCUUCUCCCGAAGUACUACUCGCCUAUUUAAGUUCACCUAACUCCUAUAUUCCUAUGGAAUUAGGAUUAACAAGAACGCAUUAAUAAUUUCCGUAUAAUAACCAAGCAAGGCGAUUAGGUAUAUCCCUAUCAUAACCGCUAAUCCGUUUCCGAUAAUCAGGUUCAAGAUCUCGCUCUACUCAAUCUUAUGUGCAAUCUAGAAUUUCCUCUGCCUUGUUCAAUCCUAGAUUCGUAGAUUGUAUUUAAUUGAUGAUCAAGCAAUCAAAUAAUUAAGUGCAAGAUUGAAUAAAUAAACCAAUAUGUUAAAAUAAUAAGAACAACUCAAGUUUCAAACUACAACGUUCAUGUUGCACCCAGAACUCUAGAACUAAUAAACUAUAAAAUUAAAGGAAGUGAAGAGAAGAAAAACUGAGAAUCCUUGCUCUAAGCGUGGUUUAUGUUAUCCUCCUCCAAAGUGACGUGUUCUCCCUCAAACAUAUGUUAAAUAUCCUCCAAAUUAGGUUUAGUCUUGCUUUUAUACGAGUUGGGAGGGUCUUGCACUGAAAUAACCUUAUCUCGGGCGAAGUAGGAGAUGUUUCCCGUCAUCAAUGCCCAGGGUAGCAUGGGGCGCUAGCACUGGCACUGUGAAAAUAAACAUUUUGGAAAUUGGGCCACAGGUAGCGCCCCACGCUGCCUGUGAUCCUGGAAAUCGCCAUUUUUAACUUUUUCUCCUUUUUGGCUCUAAUCUCGUACCUUUCACCCCUAUUGCCUCCGGAUGAUUCCUACAUAUAAAAACAACACAAAUAAGCAUAAAUCAGUACAUUUCACAUACAAAAUCCAUGAAAAGCGAAUAAAAUAUGAGGUGAUAUACAUAUAAAUAUAUAUACUUUAAGCCAAGUAUCAACACCCCACACUUAGACUCUUGCUCGUCCUCGAGCAACGGGACUAUCAACUACACCCCAAGAAUGUACACAUCUCAACUAGAGAGGAUCCUUCCAAUAUGUUUUUACCAUACACUCUACCAUUGUCUAUUAUCGAUACCGCCAAUCAAGCACGAACAUACAAAUUUUACAUUCUUCCCGUUUUAAACAUGUCCAAGUACAAACAUUUCAAUUUAAACAACCUAUCCGUAACUACCCUACCUCAAGAGCUGACUCGUUACCACUAAGCACCCUCACUCACGCACUCACCCAACAAGAAAAGUUUACAAUAUUACCAAUCCUUCAUGAGAUCAUGUACCCUCACCAGCAAACAAAAGAGUGAAUAUAAAUUAAUCCACAUAUUCAAGUAUGCCUUCGAACAUAAUUUUAAGGACAUCAUACAAUUGAACAAAAUUCUCUCACUCUCAUAAACAAUUUCAUGUGCAUCCUGUGGUCGUACCAUAAGCUUGCCCGUAGUGUACAUCUCUACUAAUCUAAGCUACCCAAAUAUAGCAUCAAUUAAGACUUUAAGGUUAUAGUGUAGGUUAAGGGACGGGUAGGAUACAUUUAGGUAUAGUGAAUAACCCUCCUAAGCACUUUAAUACACUACACUCAAAAAUCGAGCACUUCUUCUUCUCAACCAAUUCACUCACCACCAACCAUCUACAACAUAGCCCUUUUUCCCAAUUAAGCCCUUCUAUAUUCCCACUAGCACGAAUUAGUAGGAUUAGAAGAUAUGUGUUUCUCUACAUUGUUUGAACUAUUAUAUGUUUUCCUUCUUGCAAUUUUUUUCUUUUUCUUUUUUUUUCUUUUCUCCACACACUCCAUGCAUUAAGGUUCAUCGGCUAGUGACCUUUUUCUACAAUUUUAGUGCACCUUAAGGGCCCUUCCAUGGUUCCACUAGAAAGAUACUCCCCAAUCUCUCACCUUACUUCUUUUAGCGACUCAGUGCCUUAGGAGGUAAAGUUCAACAAUCUCAAACUAAGAACAAAAUAGGUGUGCGGCUUGUAAUGUGGGUGCCAAAGAAACGUUCUAUAGUCUCAAAGGGUCUAGCAACAGAAAAUAUUAUUUUUAUGUGACAAGCACAUCUAUGAUCAAGCAAGAAAUGGAUACGUCAUCUCCUAGACUAGCACAAUUUAAUAAUUUCGCUUCGAUUAACACACAGGGCAAGUUCUAGACUACACAGGAUAUCACAGAAGAUCACGAUACCUCUCACACACAUUGCACAUGACUCAAUCGAGACAGUUAUGAUCAACUCUCAAGUCAAGCAAAGACAUAUAAUUGAGAAACUUUAAGCAAUAUUGCACUAUGUGGCAUACAAGUCAAACAACUGAGAAAAUGUAUCACAUAGUAGGCUAUUUAUUUUACUCAGGCAUCACAAUUCAAAUCAAAUGUAUGGGAAGACAGAGCGCAUGCCAUAGCCUAAUUUGCCAGCACCAAACACGUCAAUAGGUAUCUGAGAGUAACUCAACUUCUUCCUAUCCUACUCCUAAGAAAAAAUAAAGUACCCGGUUCAAGCUACACCCUUGAAAAAGAACCGGUGGCCAAAGAAAAAUCAAGGGAUCCUACCUAACUAUCCUAAAAAAAUUCUUUUUGGUAUUUUUUUAAUUGGACUUUAAUCCCUCAAGAAUACUGUCCACAAAAUCCAUCGUCGGGAAAACUCCAAAAAUUUCUGAUUUUUCUUUUCUUUUUCGUUUCUUUUACACAAAAACUAGUACAUUAAGAAAGAGUACUACAACUAAACUAGGAUAGAACAAAAAAUCACCCAGAUAAACUCCUCACCCCAUACUUAAAAUUGUACAAUGUCAUCGAUGCAUAUAAUAAAUAACAAGAGGGUAAAAGAGACGCCCUGGUAGGCCAAAGGACGAUGCAUUAGCAGCUCACGAGAUACUCAGACUUUUCCCAGAUAUGGUCCUUUGUGCGGACAUCCCACACGUAGUUCCAACCACCACUCACUUUUUCACACGCCUAUUGUCUUUCACUCCAUUCUCCUACUCCUACAAAAACACAAAAAUAACACUACAAAGAUAAACUGCAAAUAUGUGUUUAUCUGCUUUAUUCUUAUCAUUGAUUCAUCACAAUUAUUUGUUACUACUUUAUACACUGUCAUCGCAUUUUUCCUAUCGUGUCUUGGCCAUACACAAUCACACACAAAUCACGCGAGCGUUGUCUUUUCAUCCAUCCAAACCUUCUUUUAGAAACUCUCUAGUUUUAGAGAAUGACCAUGUCAGGCCAACUGACAUAUCAUCUCGCAGUUCUUCAGUCCAACUCAAACUUAGGAAACACUCUACUCUUAGAAAACGUAGGACAUGCUGCAUACACCUAAGGUGAGUCGGUCCUUGGUAUUGAUUGACAAUUAAGAAAGCCACCCAAAAAUUAAUGAAUCAUGUACCUAAUGACAUGCCUUAUGUUGAAUGACAAAUCAAUCCAGAUAAGACAACAAUGAUUCGGAGCGAAACGCUUACCCAACCUUCCUUCUCUACUAGAUGGAAAUCAACCCCAAUAUCCCGGAAAUUAGCAUGGUCAUGGGAGCACCCUAUAAGGUAAAAUAGUGGUAGAGAAAUAUCUGACGAGAGCACGAAAGUGGAAUCAGAACACACCUUGGGGCGCUAACUGUCACGCCCCAACCUUUUAGGGAGAGGAGGCGAUCGACGCUGAACAGAGUUACCCCAGUCAAGCAAGCCUACAUAGUGCCUAUCUUUCAAGCUUGCCCAUGAAUAAAUAUCAAGAGUUAGACAAACGAGAGACUAAAAUGUACGGUACCAAUUUCAUGACUUAUAGAAGCUUCAUUUACGAUUACCAAAAUAUUACAAGUUCAUAUUUAGAAGUGGGAACAUCCAACAACUACAACAACAUUUUUAAUUUGUUUUUUCCAAUUCAAAAUAUAACCCACAUAAUGUCUAUGGAGCCUCUAAGUAAACAUGAUUACAAAUAUGGAAGUGUCAGUGACAAGGCCCAGGCUAUACCUCAAACACUAUGUAUAAGAAUCAAAGUGAUACAAGGCCUCGAUAUAGAGUACAAAUCACCAAAUCAGCUGAGAAGAGGAUGUGAUGCUAUCAAGGAUCAGUGUCGCCUACUAAGGAACACCUGCAUCCAUUAAAGAUGUAGAACUUCCGGCAAAAGGGACAUUUGUACAUAUGGGAUAGUACAAGUAUGUACAGCUAAAUACCUUCUCAUGGUAUGGAAUGUCAACAUAAAAGGAGAGACACAUGGAAACAGUAAGAAAAUCAAUAAUAUUUAAAUGCCAAAUUAAACAAAGUAACUUUCAAGUAAGCAUUAAUAUUUUGGUUGUGAGAUUCUUAGUACCAACAUACCAUCAUGCACGUGGCAUGGAGUCCGAUCUCUGUCUGAUCGGCUAAGCCGUCUCACCCCGAUGUAUGAGGGUUGACAUAGAAGUACAAACCUCCACCAUGUACGCAACAUGGCAUCUGAUCUCUCCCUGGUCGGCUAAGUCGUCUCACCACAAUGUUGUGUGGAUAGACAUGGUCUUUUCUAGCUAUCAACUCAUCCCAAUCAAGGGGAAUAAUCUCAACAUAAUAUAAUGGGGAUUCAUCCCUCAAUCAACUCCUACACCGGCACGUGUAGUUUUGGGCUUGGGCAUUUAUAACCCAUCCUACCUCAAUGACCUAACGAUACUCCCAAAAACACAUUCUAUAUAAACGAAGAAUAUGCAUCUCAUAGCCUUUCAAUUAAUCUUUUAAUUUCAUCGGCACUCUUGGCCAUACAUGUAAAUAAUAAUUCUUGGCAUGAUGGGCGUAUUUCAUAUUCCAUACUUUCAUUCUUUUCAUUGCUAUGGAUCAUCAUCAAACAUUUACAAACAUUGGCAACAUUGAGAAAGUCAUAGCUUCAACUCAUAUGUAUGUAAGAGCCCAAAACAUACUGGAAAUAAGUACAAGGAAGAGCAUAGCGAUUUGCAAUUUGAAUCAUGAAUUAAAAUCAUAAGCCUUUGGACAAAUUAACCAUAGAAGAAAUUUGGGACAAUAGGAAUAGGAACUUGAUUAAACCAUAAUUGAAGUUUACGAGGAACUCGUGCAAUCUGAUUCUACGGAAGGAUUUUAGCCAACAUACCUUGAUAAAGCUUGUCUUAAGAUUACUACAACAUUCCCUUACUCUUAGCAACUUCAGUAUAUAGAAAGAUAACCAAAUUGAACAAUUAUUAGGGAGGUGUUCAUAGGUUUAACCUUUUUUGGCAUUUCAUCAAACAAUAAAUGUGCAAAAUCGACUGCAAGGUUCACUAAUGGAAUUCCUUCACCCCACAAUCAAUUUCAAACAACAACCUACCCACGAUAGUUCAACAACCCCCAUAUCACCGUCAUCGAUACAUGCAUGCCCAACGACACACCACCAAAUCUAGAACCACACCUCACAUUCUUCUCAUACACCCCAAAUUUCAAAGUAGAGGGAUUAUGGCUUCCGAUCACCAUCCCACAAGACCCAUAAUAAUAAAAUAUAUACAUAAACCCAUUAUGAACAUUUCAUGAAAGCUUAGGGGAAAAAACUUACCUUGUUGGUUGAAGUCCUUGUGAGUGAUUUCCUUGAAUCUUCAAGAUUGAGCAAGAAUUAAAGGGUAUAAUUAUUGGAGCUCCUCCCCCCCCCCCCUCUCUAGAGUGUUUUCCCCAUCUAAAAUGAGUUGAUUCUGCCAUAAAAAUGACCCCAUUAAGGCUUAUAUCAUAAUACAGUUGGGAAAAGAAAUUCUCAAUAAUUCCCCCACAAAUCAAACCCGUGAUUGCGGAAUGCAUCAUAGAAGGGUUGUGUCGUUUACAAACUGGACCGCGAAAUGGUCUCCAAUCUGCGAUUAUGCGGUCGCAUAAUGGACCGCAGAAUCUGUUUCCAAAAUUUUCCAUGCUGAUAUGCGACAGAUAUGCAGUCUGCGAAAUGAACAUGAGGUUGCACAUUGGACCGCAAAAUGGCCCUAUAAAUCUAGCUUCUCCGGAUUCAAUAUGCGAUUGUUCUGCGGUCAGCGGAAUGGUUCUGUGGAUGCAUAAUGGACCACAGAAAUGCCACAUUGUGCAAAUUUUCCACCAACUCCACUAUGCAUUAUACAACCCAAAAAGUCUGUAACGCAGCGAACUUGCGAGCCACGAAAUAUAUCUACAACCCUCCGAGCACAUUAGCUUACUUUGGCACCAUAAAAACUUAAAACCUUAGCGAUCUUUUACGGGACCUUACAUCCUCCCGCGCUUAGGAUCAUUCUUCCUCUAAUGAGGGUUAGAGCCCGCCAUAGCCCCCAAUAUCACUUAACUCUUCAUUAACAGUAAGAAGUUCCAAAAUUGGCUAACUCCUCAAAUUUCCAAAUAUUUCGGCAGAGUUUUCUCUGUAUUUGGGCCUAUCCACCUAUUAGCGAGCGCUAGAAACCAAUCCUAACAGCAUAUUCAUAAUACAACAACGUAUCAUAGCAUGAAAAAAAUAACAACUAUAACAUCAUAAGCAUUCCAUUACCAAAAGGGACAUUUUAGCAUAAACUGUACAAGUUAAACAUAACCCAUUGAAAGUAAACUUCUAACAUUCCUUUAAACACAACUAUCUGUUUAUACAAACAAAUGGGGGUAUUUUAUUUUCAUAUCUUCCUCAGCAACCCAGGUAGCCUCUUCAACUUGUUGGUUUUGCCAUAGCACUUUGACGGAGGCAAUCUCCUUAUUCCUCAGCUUUCGAACUUGUCUAUCAAGGAUAGCAACCUGGAUCACGUCAUAAGACAAUUCUUCAUUAACUUCAAUAGUAUCUCCAACCACCUUCUUCGAAAUUGACACACGAAACAACGGGUGCACUAAGGACAUCUCUUGAGGUAACUCAAGAUUAUAGGCCACUCGACCAACCCUUUAUGUGAUUCUGUACGGUCGGAUGUACUUUGGACUCAAUUUUCCUUUCUUCCCAAAUCGCAUUAUACCCUUCAUGGGAGAAACCUUUAAGAAUACCCAAUCAUCCUCUUUGAACUCCAAAUCUCUGCGGCGUACAUCCGAUUAGGACUUAUGGUGACUUUGGGCACUUUUCAAGCACUCCUUAUUGAUCUGGACCUUCUCCAUAGCUAGAUGUACGAGGUCUGGCCCUAUUAGUUCUACUUCUACGACUUCAAAGCAACCAAUGUGAGAUCUACAUCUCCUACCAUAUAGAGCUUUAAACGAUGACAUAUAAAUGCUGGCAAGAUAACUGUUGUUGUAGAAAAAUUCAAUGAGUGGAAAAUAAUCAUCCCACCAUAUAGAGCUCCGAACCGUGACAUCUGAACGUUGGUGGCUGUAUAAACUGCUCUGCUUGUCUAUCAGUUUGUGGAUGGAAAGAUGUACUAAGAUUCAGCUGGGUACCCAAACCAUGCUGAAAUUUCUGCCAAAGGUUAGAGAUGAACUGUGUCCCUCGAUCUGAGAUGAUAGAAACUGGAGUGCCAUGCAACCUAACGAUCUCUUUGAUAUACAACUGAGCAUAAUGUUUUGCUGUGUCGGUGGCCUUAACAGGUAAGAAGUGUGUUGAUUUCGUGAGUCGGUCCACAAUCACCCAAAUCGAAUCGAGCUUACGAGGCGUGUGAGGUAGACCUACCACAAUGUCAAUAUUUAUUAUCUCCCAUUUUCACAUUAGAAUUUCUAUGUUCUGUGCCAAGCCACCUGGCUUCUGGCGUUCGGCCUUCACUUGUUGGUAGUUUGGGCACAUAGCCACAAAAUCCGCUAUAUCUAUCUUUAUGUCAUUCCACCAGUAGAUUUCCUUCAGAUCAUGGUACAUCUUCGUAGAGUGUGAGUGCACGAAAUACUUGGAACUGUGACCCUUGGCCAUGAUUCUUUCCCGAAGACCGCCCAUAAUAGGAGGACACAAUCUCCCUUGGUACCUUAGCGUACCAUAUUUCAUGCCAAGAGAAAAAGCCAUAGUCUUGUGUUUGUGAAUCCCCUCAUUCAAUUGCACCAAUAACGGAUGAUCAUACUAUUUCUCCUUGACUUCCAUUACCAGUUAUGACUCGUCCUUACUCUGCACAAUCACCCCACCUUCGCUAGAGUCAUCAAGACGUACUCCCAAACAUACCAACCGAUGAACUUCCUUGGCCAACGACCUCUGGUAUGCCUCCAAGUGAGCCAAACUACACAUGGAUUUCCGGCUAAGAUCAUCCGUCACAAUAUUAGCUUUACUCGGAUGAUAUAGAAUAUCAGUGUCGUAGUUAUUGAGUAACUCAAGCCAUCUCCUUUGACUUAGAUUUAACUCCUUCUACUUGAAUAUAUAUUGAAGACUCUUAUGGUCCGCGAAUAUAUCCACAUAACCCCAUACAAAUAGUGAGGCCAAAUCAUCAAUGCGAACACCACCGCCGCAUGUUCUAAAUCAUGUGUCGGAUAAUUGUUCCCAUGGUCCAUGAAAGCUGCAUGAGCGUUCGUUAGCCCAAAAACAUCACCAGAAACUCAAAGUGCCCAUACCGGGUCCUGAAAGUUGUUUUCUAAAUAUCCUGCUCCCUAAACUUCAAUUGGCCGAUCUUAAGUAAAUCUUGGAUAAAUGCUUAACGCCUUGUAACUGAUCAAACAAGUCUUCUAUCCUUGGCAGCGGGUACUUAUUCUUGAUUGUGACCUUAUUGAGCUGUCGAUAGUCAAUACACAUACUCAGUGCCACAUCCUUCUUCCUUGCAAAGAGAACCGGUGCGGCCCAAGGCGACAUACUUGGUUGGAUGAAACCUUAUUCUAGCAAAUCCUUCUACCGAUCAUUUAGUUUCUUCAGUUCUGGUGGAGCCAUUCUGUAGGGUGGAUUGAUAUAGGUUAUGUCCCUGGCAUCACAUUGAUCCUAAAGUCAAUUUCCUUGUCUGGUGGGACCUAGGAAGCUCAUAAAGAAAGACCUCCGAAAAUUCAUUCAUAACUGGCACGAACUCAAGUGUUAGUACCUCAGCCUCUGUGUCCGUCACUCGGACCAAGUGGUACAUACAUCCCUUGAUGUUCAUCUCUGCAUCCUUAAGGUAAGAAACAAACCCGCCCUUUGGCAGAACAUGAUUCCUUCCACUCAAUGACUAACUCAUUUGCAAACGCAAACCUAAUAGUUCCUGUUCAGAAAUAAAGAUUAGAAAAACAUGAGUGAAGUCAGUCCAUCCCUAUUAUCAUAUCAAAAUCCACCAUUGCCAAUUAAAUGAGGUCGGCCGUGGUGUCUCGACCAUGUAUGGUUACAAUACAAUCCCUAUAAACCUGCGUGGCCAUAAUAAACUCAUCAACUACAGAAGAUACAUAGAGAUGACGAAGUUGUUCAUGUUCUAUCUCAAAUUCCAUAGAAACAUAAGGAGUGGCAUACGACAAUGUGAAACCUGUAUCUAUAAGAGCAUACACAUUAUGAGAUUGGACAUUUGUUAUCCCUGUGAUGACAUCUAGAGAAGCCUCUUAACUCUAGUGGCACCUCAUAGCAUAUAACCUACAGGGUCCUCCCGAACCCUGUACACCACCUCUAGUUGUACCACACCCGGAUUUGGUGUUGGAGUACCUCAAGUUGGAGGAGGUGUUGUAGAAGUAGUAGCUACUAAACUGGCCGGUUGCGGCAUAUCCCUACCAGCACUUAUAAUGGGACGAAGGAGAUUUCUCUGAAUAUGGCCCCUAAGACCACACUUGUAGCAUAGGAGAUGGUUCAUAUAGCAGACUCCUGAGUGCAUCUUUCCACACCUAGGGCAUGAGGGCCGCUGCUGCGGCUGAAAUCUCCUGCCUGAUUGACCCUGCUGAUAAGAUCCUAUGUUGCCCUGACUAGGCUUGAAGUGACUCAACUGUUGCUGACCGGGCCCUGAUGGCGGAUCAUUGGUUGAAGACUGAGCAAAGGACGGUGUCGGUCCAGAUGUUACUCCCGGAACAUCACCUUUCCUCCAAUAUCACCACUGAUAGUACCACCAAAGAUGCCCUCGAGUCAGGCCUUUUUGUUACCACCUUGCUUCAUUCUGUUCUUUAAUUUUCGGGUCUCUUAGGCUUGAGGAAAUGCCACCAUCUUCCCAUAGUUCAUAUCAGAAUUCAAGGAGACUAAAGUGGCCUCGUUGAUAAUCAAAGGGUUAAGGCCCUGCAUAAACCUACAAAUGCCAGCCUCCAUAGUGGGCAACAUGUAAAUAGCAUGCUUGGAAAGAGCUGCAAACCACAUAUUGAAGUCUCACACACUCAUACUACCUUGCUUCAAGUUCUGAAACUCGGUGGUACGGGUUGCCUAGUCUCGGUAGGCUAGAAAUGAUCCAUGAAAGAAUUUGCAAACUUGUUCCACUUGGUUGGAGAGCUACUCUCCUCACAAGACUUGUUCCCCAAUUAAAACAAUGAGUACGCCACUUCCUUUUGGCGAUAGGAGGCCAAUGCCACUACUUCUAUCUCAGCGGCACGCAUCAUACGGAGCGUCUUGUGCAUCUCAUUAAUAAAUACAUGCGGGUCCUCCUCGGGCAUAGUACCUAUGAAUACCAGAGCAUCCAACUAAAGGAAUCGAUUUACCCUGAAACUAGCAGAAUCCCCUUUUUGGCUAGAGGAACUAGGUGUAGCAUUCAAUCCCUAGGCCUAGGAAGCCACUAUCUGGGUCAACAAUUGGAUGGAUCCCCUAAGGUUCCAAUAAGAAACACUAGGGCCGAGGGUUGAGGCUGGAGGUGAAACUGGAAUAUCACGUUAAGGAGGAAUCUAUAAAUUCUCAGUAGGUGUAGUAGAAACAGGGGGUGUUGUAGUUGGGGGAAUGUCUUUAUCCCUUGGGUGCUCCCCCGCAACAUCGGGCAGCUCAUCAACUACCACUCCUGAGGUGGCAUUGGCCCUUUGACCACACCUUGCCUUCUUCUUAUGCGCCAUGUGCUAAAAAUUAGAAUAAUGACAAGUUAAAAGGCAAAAGUAUCUUACAAUCAGCUUUAUCACAUGAUUUAGAAUAUCAAAGAAGGGUGUCAUUCCUAAAUGCCCAAGUAGCCUCCUAAUUAUAGAUAUGGUCAACUUCACACCGAUAAUAAGGACUAUACUAGACACAACUCUAAGAUAUCCUAGGACACUUUAAAACCUUAGGCUUUGAAACCAAGCUUGUAACGCCCCGGUCUUUGGGGGGGGAGGGGGCAGGACCUGUGCUCAACUGAGCUACCCCAGUCAAACAAGACUACUUUGUGCUUAUCUUUCAUCCUUGCCCAUGAAUAGUUUAAGGCUAAAUAUCAAGAGUUAGACAAAUGAGAGAGUAAAAUGUACAAUACCAAUUUCAUGACUUAUAGAAGCUUCAUUUAAGAUUAAAAAAAUAUUACAAAUUCAUAUUUAGAAGUUGGAAUGUCCGACAACUACAACAACAUUUUUAAUUUGUUUUCCCAAUCAAAUUACAAACCACAUCAUAUCUACGGAGCCUCUAAGAGAACAUGAGUAAGAAUAUGGAAAUGACAGUGACAAGGCCCCUGCUAUACCUAUAAACACUAUGUACAAGAAUCAAAAUGACACAAAGCCCCGAUAAAGAGUAGGGCUCAUCCAAUCAGCUGAGAAGAGGGUAUGAUGCUAUCAACGAUUAGUGCCACCUGAUGAGGAACCAUUUGCAUCCAUUAAAGAAGCUCCCCCGACAAAAUGAACCUUAGUACGUAUGGAAUAGUAUUAGUAUAUAAAGCUAAAUACCCUCUCAUGGAACAGAAUGCCAACACAAAAUGAGAUAAACAUGGAAACAAUACGAAAAUCAAUAAUAAUUAAAUGCCAAAUUAAAACAAAAAAACGUUCAAGUAAGCAUUAAUAUUUUGGUUGGGAGAUGCCUAGUACCGACACACCACCAUGUACGUGAUAUGGAUUCUGAUCUCUACUCGAUCGGCUAAACCGUCACACCCUAAUGUGUGAGGGUUGACAUAGAACUACGGAACCACCACCAUGUGCAUGGCAUAAUAGGAUAUGCAUGGAUUACUAAGAUAUCAACAAAGCCAGUCCCAAGGACAACUUUUCUCUACAAAUAUCCUUAUCCAUCUUGACAAUUGUGCGAAGCACGAUUUACAAUAGUUCAUGGAUUAUUUCGCUGGAUAUCACUAGAUUUUGAUGCACAAUGAACAUGCUAAGAGGACAACCUUCACCUCACAUGGGAAGUUUAUUGCUACAUGGUCAUGCCAUUUGGCCUCAAGAAUGCGGGUGCCACCUACAUGAGGGCCAUGAGGACCCUUUUUCAUGAUUGGAUCCACAAGGAGAUUGAAGUAUAUGUGGAUGACAUCAUCAUCAUGUCACGGAAGAGUGCAUAUUAUUUAAAUGACUUGAGGAAAUUGUUUGAACAGUUUCCAAGGUACAAUUUAAAGAUGAAUCCUACGAAAUGUGCAUUCAAAGUUCAUGCGGGAAAAUUAUUGGGUUUCAUCGUCAGUAGGAAGGGGAUAGAGUUGGAUCCUUCAAAGAUCAAGGCUAUUAAACACUUUCCUUAUCCCAAAAGCAAGAAGGACGUAAUGAGGUUCCUCAGAAGAUUGAAUUACAUCAGCAGGUUCAUAGCCCAGUCAAUGAUAAUCUGUGAACAAAUUUUCAAGCUAUUAAAGAAAGUUUCUGCCACAAAAUGGUUAGAAGAAUGCAAAAAGGCUUUCGACAGAAUCAAGGAGUACUUGUCUAGUCCGUCCGUGUUGGUUCCUCCUUAACCUGGGAAGCCCCUACUGCUAUAUUUGUCCGACUUGGAUAAUGCAUUUGGAUGUGUGUUAGGUCAACACGACGAGACUGGAAAGAAAGAAGAUGCUAUCUACUACCUAAGCAAGAACUUCAUGCCAUACGAAGCCAGAUACACCUUGUUGGAUUGGACGUGUUGUUCUUUAACUUGGAUCGCUCCGAAGUUAAGAUAUUACUUGUCGGGGUAUACCACAUAUCUGAUAUCCAAACUUAACCGACUCCAAUACAUUUUCCAUAAGUCGAUACCUACAGAAAUGUUAGCAAAAUUAUAGAUUCUUGUCAGUGUGUUCUACAUUAUGUAUGUGACACAAAUAUCUAUUAAAGGAUAGGCAUUAGCCGAUCAUCUCACUAAAAACCUGAUGGACAAAGAAUACGAGCCAUAUACCACGUAUUUCCCCGAUGAAGAAGUGUUAUUCGCUCGGGAGGACAUGGAAAGGGACAAAAUUCGAUAUGUACAGAAAUUUCACCAGUGAGAGAUACACGAGGAUUACAUACGGGUUCCGCCAAAUGAGUUAAACAUAAUUGGUUCUCCUUGGACGUUUGCCACUUGGGGCAUGGAUGUAAUUGGACCUAUAGAAUUGGCCAGAUCAAACGGACAUCAUUUCAUCUUGGUAGUCAUCGCUUAUUUCACCAAAUAGGUCAAAGCUUCCAUGUACAAGGCUAUUACAUAGAAGGUGGUGGCAGAUUUUUUCUAUAACAAUAUAGUCAGUCGGUUCUGCAUUUCGGAGUCCAUUGUAACUGAUAAUGCAUUCAAUCUCAACAGCGAUCUUAUGAGAGAAAUUUAUGAGAAGUUAAAAAUCGUCCAUCGUAAUUCUAUAGCAUACAUGCCACAGAUGAAUGGAGAAAUUGAAAUAGCUAACAAAAUCAUCAAGAGGAUCUUGCGAAAGAUAGUGGACAAUCACAUGCAAUGGAAUGAGAAACUCUCAUUUGCCCUACUUGGUUACUGCACCACCAUAUGGACGUCUAUCGGGGCAACACCAUACAUGCUGGUAUAUGGCACUAAAGUUGUCAUACCGGUAGAGGUCGAGAUAACUUCUUUAAGAAUUAUCCAAGAAUCCAAGUUGGAUGACGCAGAAUGUAUACGUGUCAGGAAAGAACAACUCAUGCUCAUUGAUAAAAAGAGGAUGGAUGUAGUUUGUCAUGGUCAGUUGUCUAAAAAUAUAAUGGCCAACACAUUCAACAGGAAAGUGAAACCUUGACAGUUCACGUCGGGGCAACUGGUUUUUAAGAAUAUAUUUCCCCAUCUAGAAGAAGCAAGGGGAAGUUCGCGCCAGUUUGGUAGGGUCUUUAUGUGGUCCACGUGGUAUUAUUAGGAUGAGCACUAAUAUUAGCAGAAAUGGAUGGCAGGGUAAGCACAAAGCCCAUUAAAUCAUAUGCAAUCAAGAGAAACUAUAUUUGAAGACAAGAGAGUUAGGUUUUGUGUAUCAAGAACUACGCACGACCUGACUUUUCAUGGUGGGAUACGUAGGAAAUCCACAUAGGGUCCGAUCCCACCCUUAUAAUAGAAAAUCUAAAUAUCAUUUUUUUAUAUUCUAAACUACGCCAUGACUUGAUAUAGUUUGGUAGGAAAAUAUAGGCAACCCACAUCGGAUCCACUGUAAUUGAACUACGUUUUGACCUGAUUCCAUUUGGAUACGUAGGCAGUCUGAGUCAGACUCAGCCAUAUCAUUUUAAAAUUCUACCAUUUUUCAUCUAUUGUAAUCGAACUACAUUUUAACCUGAUUCAGUUUGGAUAUGUAGGUUGCCUGAGUCAGGCUCGGUCAUUUCAUUAUUUCAUUUACUCAUACCCUCAAACUAUUCAUAGACCUGAUUUCUUUCAAUAUGUAGGCAACCUGAAAAGGUUCGGUCAUCACCCUAGCAAAUCCUUGUAAUUCAUAACUUAGAUUAGGAAAUGAUCGCAUCAACAAGGAAGUUACGUUGUUAGGGGCAUAUCCAAAAAAGCAUCAUCAACAAGGCAGAGCUAGCUAGAAAUGAUACUCGCAUCAAGGGAAAUGCCAAAAUAUGUCAUAAUCUAGAACAACGACGUUUAACAUAAACAUAAAUAAUUUUUAAGAAAUCAACUUGUAAAAUACUACUUUUUCCACCUGCCAAACCUCAUGGCAUAAUUCACCAGAUUAGGGGCAAGGCCAGGUUUAUGAUCAACACGAAUCAACGCUCCUCCCCUACUAAGAAUUUUUCUUUGAGCGCAGGAUUGACAGGAAUCAAAAGGCGACAGAUAACACCCAAAUCAAUGCCAGACCCAAUACAAUUUCAUGAGCCUCUAAUCCUCCUUUAUUGUUCAAUUCAUUUUCAUAUAGCUAAGGACUAACUUUGAAUUUCUUCUAGGUAUCCCAGUGCCAGGACUCCGACACUAUGGGAGCUCCCUGUACGUAUCAAACCGUCUACUCUACAAACUAGAGCUCCUUGUACAUAUCAAACUAUCUACUCUGCCAACCAGAGAGCCUUAUACAUAUCAAACUGUCUGCUCUACCAAUCUGAGUGUCGUGUACAUAUCAAAUCAUGUGCUUUACCAAUAAGAGCAUAUUGUACAAGAUCACACCGCCCACUCUUCCAAUUAGAGCACCUUUGUACAUAUUACACCGUCACUCCGCCAAGUCAGAGAUUCCAAAUAGAUCAUUGCAAACCUCGUUGCCAACUUUGCCAAUCGACAGAUGGCCAUUCAAUUUCGUCAUACGUUUCGCCGACCGACGACCGCGAAUUAGUCCUUCAGUCAAGAGUAUCUCUUUGGCAUCCUCAUUUGUUUUCCUAUUUUUAUCUUGAAUGUUUUGACAUUUUAUUUGUGCAGCUUACAAGCAUUUUUAAAUUCUUGGUUGGUUAAAAUUCAAACACUCCCAUCACGCGGAGAUUCAAAUUAAAAGUCGAACGCUCCAAUCGUGUGGAGAUUCAAAUUCAAAGUCAAAUACUCCUAUCACAUUGAAAUUCAAAUUCAAAGUCUAAUAUUCCCAUCAAGAGGAAACUCAAAUUAAAAUUCGAAUACUCUCAUCGCGUGGAGAUUCAAAUGUUCCGACAACUUCGGAACGAUACACAGCGUGGCUAACAUUCAAUGUCAAAUUCAAACACCCAUAUCUAGUAUCACAAAUAAUACUCCAAACCUCGGAGAUUUUAAAAUUCAAACGUCCUGUCCCCGGCAUCCCAAAUAAUGCUCCAGAGCUCGGAGGCUUCAGAUUCAAACAUCCCACUGCCCAGAGAUCCCCAAUAAAAGCCUGCGUCAUCCAGGCAUUGUUAUUCCUGCAUGAUUACAUUGUACCCUAACAUAUUUGUAUUAUGAUAUAUGGAUAUAUGUCACGACCCCAAAUUCUCACUUUAGGAUAUCGGGGUGGCACCUAGUCUCUAAGACUGACUGGGUAAGCAUAAGAUGCAUUGAGAAAUAGCAGAAAUAAUAACAUAAACAUCAAAUUAAAACUAUUAAACUAUCAUAACAAAACCCAAAUCGUACAGCUGUCAAAAACUCCCCAAAACUUGGUGGAACCGAGUCAUAAGCUCUACAAGAAUGUACUAAUAAUCUUGAAAUACAACAUUGUCUUGGAACAUGAAAUAAAUAGUAGAAUAUCCAAAGCAGAAGGUGAUUCGAAGCCUGCCAACGUCGAGAAGGUAUACCUUGAAGUCUCUAAAAGUAGCUAAUCAAUCACUAGCAUCCCGGAUGGGCAGAUAUAUCUGGAUCUGCACAAUAAUUUGUAGAAGUAUAGUAUAAGUACACCACAACUGUACCUAAUAAGUAUCAAGCUUAACCUCCGUAGAACAAUAACGAGGCCAGGUCAAGACAUCUACUAGGAUAAGAUAAAUCGAAUAGAGCAUAACAAUGACCAAUAACGAAGAAUAAGGAUAAUGAAUGAUAACAAAGCAGUAUAAUAACGUAGGCUAACAAUAGAAUUUAAGGUGAGAAAGACAACGAGAUGUGAACACACAAUGAGAGCAACAAGUAAUCAAAAUACAGACUAAUACAGGUAAGAAAGUCAAGUAAACAACAAGAACAGUUCAACCAACAAGCCUCUUAAAUCAUGAAAUAUACAACAAGAAUCACAAUCGAGGUAUCACGCCUCAUAUUCACAAUUCACAAUUUUAAUCACAAUCUUUCCUUAUAUCACUGCGUGAGCCUUGCAUUUAUUUUUAUUUUUAAAAUAUGUUUUCGAAAUAGUUACACACGUUUUAGCCCCCAUUAUCUCACCACGUGGCUUUAAGUAAUUCCCUUACUAGCAACACGCGUAUCAAGCCCACCUUAUCACACCUCAUGCAUAUUAACCCCUAUCAUUAUACCACAAUAUGCAUAUCGGUAUCACAACACAAUAACAACUCGUACUGCAAGUGCCCAUAUGCCACAACUUGCUAAAAUCAACAAUACCAAUGUUUUCAUAACAAAUGGCUCAUGGCUCAACCACAAUAUAUACAUGAAUCUCAAUAAUGACAAAAUGAGUGAGAAAUGCGCAACAAGGAAAGAUAUCUCAAAAAUCUACAAAUUCAACCUCAAUGUUAUAAUAGCUUUCGCAACAUCAACGUUAAUAACCCAACAAGAAGAUAAUUCCCACGAAAUAACAACUUCAAGUAAGAGUAAUCCAACAAUAAAGAGGUAACAAGACAAUAAGGGAGGUAAUAACAUCAACUAAAGUAUAUGAGAGAAAAUAUAACAAAGUAAGGGAUAGAACAAGUGCUAACAACGUCAAAUAGAUCAUGUAAGAGUAGAUAAAUAAUGAAAGAUAUAACAUGUUAUGACAAUUCAAUUAAAGGCAUGAAAAGAGUCUAAAUAGUCUAAACCGGUCAAAUACCAUAUAUAGCCUGUGUACACACUCGUCACCUCGUGUACUAGUCUUCCACAUAAUACAAAUAGAUCAAUUAACCCAAAUCCUAAGGGGUAGUUACCCCACACAAAGUUAGGCAAUAUACAUACCUCAACUAGGCCAAAUCAACCCUCAAAAAAAGCUUUUACCCUAAAAUUCUCCUCCAAAUGACUAAAAUCUAACCAAAAAUGACUUAAUAACAUCAAGCAAUGCAAGAGAAAGCAAUUAUAAUAGAUAAAGCUAUGACUAUUACACAUUUUCCAAAAUAUCAACAAAAGCUAACCCCUGGCCCCACCGUUCAAAACCCGAGUCUAAGUGUAGAUUCUGACUACCCAUAAUAUCACGAGUCCAUAUAUCUAUUAUGUUUUCAAAUCCAAGUCCAAAUCGUGUCUCAAAACUCAAAUCUUCAUUUAUUCAAAACAUUGACAAAAAUCCCCAAAUUUCCUCUUUGAUUCUCAUAAAUUUGAUGUUAAACCUAAGAGGUAAUCAUGAAAUAUAGUUUGAAAUUGAUUGGAAUCAUUUUCCCAAUAUUUGCAGAUGAAAAUUCCCUCUCCAAAUCGCCUUCUACCGAGUCUAGGGUUCUAAGAUAUGAAAAAUGAGACCAAAAUGGUCGCAAAUGCGACCCAACCCAGGCAUGCACUGACUUUGCAAGUGCGAUGGGGAAAAUCGCAUUUGCCACAUCUGACCACCCCUGCCAACUUUGCAAUUGCGAAGCUGGUGCUCGCAAUUGUGACAUCAGAGCACUUGCACACCAGAAAAUUCUUUUUCAGUCUAAACCAUUUCGAAACGCAUCCAAAUUUCAUUCGAGCCCUCGGGGCUCCAUGCCAAAUAUCGACACAAGUCUUAUACGAACUCACACGUGUGAUCAUAACACAAAAAUAACAUCUAGAACUACUAAUAGGACAUUAAAACGCAAGCAUUUCAAAGUCAUUUUCUUUGCUCGCAAACUCUUUUAUCGUCUCCUGUCAUAGAGGGGUAGCUGUUGAUGACAAAUUUAAAAUUAAUAAUAUCUAUUUUUUCAAAUAUAAAUAAUAUGAUAAGUAAUAGUAAGCAUAAUAAUAGUUAAUAAUAUUAAUUCUAUAAUCGAUUAUAAUCUAGUCUUAAAUAUUUAUAAUUAUAUUACUUCUACUACUUUAAUUAAUUAAAACUAGCUUUCAUAAUUUAUAAACAAGUAUUACAACUAUUUUAAUAAUUUAGUCUUUAAAUUUAUUAUUUUAUUACCUCUAUUACUUUAAUUAACCAAAUAAUUAGUUUUCAUAAAUUAAUAGAAAAGUAUUAUAAUUUUAAUUACUUAAAAUUAAUUAUUUACAGCAAGUAUCUAAUAAUACAUUUGUUAAUUAUAUUUUAUUACAUUCUAUAGAGAUUAAAUAAUUAUAAUUAAAUUAAUUAUAAAAAGGUGGUUAAAACUUAAAAUAGGCUACUUUUGCAAAUGGUCAAUUUAACUCAAAUGGCCAUGCCUUAGAUCAAAUGCCAGCCUACUACCAAAACAUUGGCCUAAAAGACAUUAUCCCAACACCAUGACCCGGCCCGGCCAACCCCACUACUAUCCUACUUGGCGAUCUUUCAGCCAAUCACUAUGCGCCACACCAUAAGUUCCCAAUCACUAACAGAAAAAAUACAACUCAUCUGGACCAUUUAUCCAAAUCAUCAACGUUCCAGAAUUAAUCUCAAUUUUCCCUUAUUAUAUUAAACCUCCGGUGUUUUACCUUUUUUUAGAUCCAAAUGAUCUAAUGGUUCCACUUUUAUCCCACAUAACCUUUUUCUUUUCCUUUUAUCUAAAAAAAUCUAGAGUCGUUGAUCUAAGCGAUCCAACGGCUCCCCUUCCACCUCUCGUUUUAACUAACCUAUCCCACCCGAAACCCUAAUAAUUCUCAGCACAUAUCGACCGGCCUUUCUUUCCUCUUCCUCUCUCAUUUCUCUCUUUUUCUCAGACCCCAUAAAUCUCUGGAACCUUGCAGUAAUCCGUACAAGUUCAUACAAAAUCAACCCCAGUAUUAAUCAUGUCCCUCUUCCAACCGCGAAUGUCGCCGAUGUUUCCUUUUUUCGCACCUUAAUUUUAAUCCCAACCACCGAAACCCUAUAUCAAAGAAUGAAAGAACGAGAAUAUAAUCAUUUCACUUUGUGCUCGUUCAAAUCACUACAUGCAAUUUGUAGAUUCAUGAGAAUCUUGACAUUAUUAUGAUGAUUCUUGGUCCAGAGGUCAAACGCUGUAACCUCUGGGCAUUGGCUUUAACGGAUGGUCCAUUAGCUUGCAACGACCCAUUUCCUUCAUCAUCUAGAAAGGUAAAACCUCACUCCGUUUCCCCUCUAUUUUUCCUUUGUUUUUCCCCUUUGCUAUCAUCAGCGUUCAAUCGUCAUCUUACACUAAGUUUUUUCAAACUCAAAUGAACCCUAAAGGCUCCGAUGGCCCCUGUAAAUAGGGGCUUUAAUGCUCUCACCUAACAAGAAGAACUACCUAAGCGAACUUAAGUAAAUAUUAUAUGUUUAAAUACUCUGGAUUUCCUCUCUAAUUUCUUUUCUUUUCUUUUGCUUCUGCUUGAAUUCGACCACUGCAAGUUGAUUGUGAGAUUGGGUUCCUAAACGGCUAGUGAUCACCUCUACCUAGUUUUCUGCUCUGAAGAAGGUCAAUAAACCACUAACCCCUUCUUUAAUUGUUCAUGUGUUAGAUCUGCUUGUGUGAUAUUUUACUGUUAAUUACUUGCUCAUUUUUCUUCUUGAUGUUCAUCAGUAAAUAUGUGGCUCUUGUCGUGUUAUGCCACUUGUGUUGCUCUUUACCGAUAUUUCAUAUUUGCUGUUAUAUUUAUCUCCCAUGUUGUUGUUUACAUUAAUAUCUAACAGUGAUCGUUGAGUUUUAUUUCUUGUACUGAUAUCAUCGUUAGGCAUAUGUCUUGUCGAAUUGAAUUGAUAUUAUUGUGAGCUCAAUCCUGUUACUUCCUUAUGUUGAUUUGAGUUGAUUAAUUUUUUUGAUGGCAGCCAUGUUUAGCCUAUACUACUACCCUGCUGAUUGAUUGAUGCUCACUUAUCUUUAUACUUUUGCUCUUGGUUAUCAUACUGAUUAAGCUAAUGAAAUUAUGUUCCUAAUAUCUUAAAUGCCAUCUUGUUUAACAAGGUGAAGUCUUCAUCAAUAGGUUGUCUUGCUCAAAUGGUCUUCUUGCUUAUAGUAUUAUGCUGCUUGUGUUCAGUUAGUUAAAUGAAAUCCACCGAUGGCCUUGCCCACAUUAUCAUGUUGACUUGAUUAAGUGUCUUCAAUUAUUGGUCAUGUUAUGACACUAUGUCAUUUUGUUUAGUUAAGUCUAUAUGUGUUUACUAUGUUAAUAUGAAAUAAGGGGGGGGGGGGGAGGGGUACAUUUUAAAAUCAUGAUUGUAUGAUAAACUUUGGAGACCAAUAGGUGAUCCUGUUUACCUGAGUUGCAAUCAUAUGCUAAUUUUGUUUUGCAUUAUUUGUGCAUAGGUGCUUUCUUGUUGUCUCAUGAUUAUUUGAUGUCUAACAAGUUCUUCACUGAUAUAAUUUGAUUGUUGUCGAUUGUGAUGACUUAUAAGUUUUAAUUGAAUGUUGUAAAUAUGCAUUGGUAGAUAUCAUGCCGAUAGAAAUCACAUAAUGAGACUGAAAGUUGAACCUCUUACUCAUGCUAAAUUGUCCAUAUUGUCCUAACUAAUUGGUAUGACCCCUUGUGAAUUCUAAGUAAGGUGUUAACACGGGUUCUUAAUAUAGUAUAAGCCCAACCCCGGUGCUUAUUUUCAUGUUAUGGAAAUGACUGUUCUGAAAUGAUAUUCUACAACCUGCUUUAAUAAUAUAAACUUACCUUGAGAAGAUUCAAUUUGACUGGAUCUUUAAUGAAGCACUGAACCUCUGAUAAAGUUAGUAAUGUGUGCAUAUGUUUAUCUUUGUUAGUUGUUAAUGCCUUAAACCACUUAAGGUGACAUUCUUGUAUGAUGAAGUUGUUAGUAGCAUGGCAGGCCUGACUACAUGGGUGUAUAGUUGAAAAUAUGUGAUUAGUGGACCUUCCUUGAAUAUGUAUGUGUCUCUAAGAAUAUUCUGUAAGGUUGUGUUACAUGAAAUUAUUUAAAAUCAACCCUUGAACCUUUGAAUCAGUAAAAGGAUCAUGUGAACUUACAAGUACUGAUAGCAUGUGUCUAAUAAUGAUCACAGUUCUAAACUUUAACUUGUAAUGGUUCUUGGAUACUUAUGGCUUUGCCCUCCAGUGAUAACUGUAAUUCCUAAUAUGUUGUCUUAUGUUGUCAGUGUUUCUGCAUAAUCAAGUUUUUGGAGUAUGUUAUGAUGGUUUGAGACGCUAUAUUGAAUAUGCUACACUUCUGCUAGUUUAUGUUAAUUGUGUGAAUUGCCUGGGUACAUGUUUAGUUAAAUGUUAAGUUAAAAUCUCAUUUGUGUCUAAACCUCUUAAGAGAAGUAAGGUUCAGUACUUAAGGAUGAUUGAUGUGGGCUUGACUUUUUAGUUGAGGAACCCCUCCCCGGCACAAGUACUGCUCGUAAGUAAAUAUGGUUCACCCUAGGCCUAUGAAUAUCGACUUUCAUUGAUCUUCAUGGGAUUAGCAUAAACGAAAUUUAGCUUUACUAUAUUUCUUUAGAUCUUGUCCAUAUUUAUUAUAACUUUAUCUUACUUUACUUUUUUUUUGUAUAUACUAAUCCAUUCUCUCCCUUUUCUUUGCAUGAAUCAUUGGGCCUGCCGAGUUCAUUGAGAACUUAGGCCCAAGUUCAGGGAACUGGUCUGCUUCCUUGUCACCUGUUGUUGUCUGUUGCUGCUUUGAGUCUAGCUGGGUCUGAUUAUUUCGUCACCCCAACAUGAGAGUCCAUCUCCCUUCUUCUUCAUCUAAGGAAUUAUUAUUAUUGUCUUUGUCUUAUCCUUUGCGUAUCAUUAUGGAACUAAUGUUGUUAUUAGAUAUUAGUUCUUAGUUUACUUAUGUGAAUUAAUUACAGCCUUUAGGUAAACCAAACUAGUGAGGAAGAGAUAUAUAUGACCGAUAAGAUAACUUGCUUAACAAUCUCAACGUUUUCAGCAUGUGGACACUUUUAAAACUAAUGGUUCAGCAACAAUCUCUCUUUCAUUUACAUAUCUUUCAUGAUGAGUUUUGUUUGGUUUAGGCCUUUACAAGAUUAUAAUAACUUAAAAGCAAGAACACCCCUUUGAAUGUUUUGAAAACAAGUAACUUAGGCAACUAAAUAUCUGGACCGCUUCAAGAAAGAGAAGUAAGGGCGCCACACCUAGCACGAUCUCAUUUUACAAGAACAAAACCAAACACUCAUUUGGAAUUCUACCAAAGCAGUUUUUCGAAGACAAAUGAGGUACAACUAUUUUGAUAUAUACACUGACGCACUCUUUCUUAUUUUUACAAGACAUGUUACAAAGUUUUAAAACAAACAUUACUAUUUCUAAAGGAACUAUACCUUCAUUUCUUAAGACAAAGAAAUGAUCUUUCAAACAAGAAUCCAAAUAUUUUUCGUCAUUUAUUCAAGGCUUUCACAAGAGGCUCACUUAGCAAUUUUAAUCAACUAGGAUAUAAAUUUCUCUCCCCACACCUAUGCCUAAGUUUAAAGAGCUACCUCAUGUAGAUUUUAAGGAGUGCCUAACACCUUCCCCUUAAAAUAACUAAAACUCUUACCCGGAUCUCGCUGUUUAGUAGACAAUUAGGGCAAUAACUCUUUACAAAUAUAUAGGUACCCUAGUAUACCUUAAAAUAUUAGGUGGAAACUCUUCUUUUAUCAACUUCAAAGGAACCAUAAGUUGUAUUUUAUUUUAACUUGUGAAAAAUAGGGUGCAACAAUAAUAGUACGAGAUCAUGUCAGUUAUGGAGUAAGGGUAUUGUGGGUUAUCAUGUUAGUCAUGUCAGUUAAGGGUAUGUGUAUGGUGAGUUUAUUCUGUGAUAUGUUGGCUUUGAAACGACUUUUGGCACAUUCAAGAACUAAUGUAUGUUUAAUUAGAGGAGAAUGUAAUGACCCGAUAGGUCUUUUUGAGAAUUAGCAAUCCGUUCGGUGGUUUGAGGUCUUGAUUAGCUUCAUAUGAUGUAUUAUGAUUUGCGUGUAUGGUUGUUUUUGAUUUUUGGGAAGUUCGAGAUUGAUUCGGAAGAGUAAUUCUCAAUUUAUAAGCUUUAAGUUGGAAGAGUUGACCAAGUUUGACAUUGUAUAUUUGACCUUGGAUCAGUGUUUUGAUGGUUCAGUCAGGUCCGGAUGGUGAUUUUGGACUUGGAUGUAUGCUCGGGUUUGAGUUUCGAUGUUCCUAGAUGAUUUUGAGGCCAUUUAUCGAAAGUUGGAAGUUUGAAGGUUCGGAGAGUUGAUAGAUUUGACCUAUACAUAACUUUGUGGUUAUUGAUGUCAGUUUGGGAUUAAGCCCCUUAAAUAGGUUUGAAUGGUGAUUUAUGACUUGUGUGCAAAAUUUGGGGUCAAUCUGCGUUGUUUAGACGUGUUCAUCGUUAGUUUGGAAUCUGGUUUUGAUGUUAUUUUGAGGGAUUUGUGUCCUAGAGUAGAUCCGUAUUAUAUUUUGGGACUUGUUGUUAUGUUCGGACGGGGUCCCGAGGGGCUCGGCUGUGUUUAGGGGUAGUUUCGAACCAUUUCUCACCUAUCUUUGAUUGCUGGUUUUCUCUUAUUUUCUGGUGUUGUGUGCCUUCUUCCCGAUCGCGUGAGAAAGACUAUGAUCGCGAUGGGUAUGUUGGAGUUAGGUGGUGUUUCCUCUUCGCGUUUGCAAGUGGAGGAUAACGUUCGCGGAUGUUGAGUGGCUUGCCCAUCGUUCGUAAAGGGGGGGUUGUGAUCACGGUUCAGAGUGGGAGUUGGUGUAUUGUUUUCGCAUUUGUGUGGUCCAAGACGCAUUAACGAAGGUUUGGUCUCUUUGGUCAUUGCAUUUUCAUGGUCAGUGACCCGAACACAAAGUGUAUUUUUUGGCAGUAUUCAUCUUAGUGCUUCGCGAUCGCGAAGUAAUUCUCGCGAUUUUUACCACCUGGAUUGGGAUAAGUAUUUUUGACUUGAAUUUUAUUAUUAUGCAUGAUUCCAUCAUUGAUUUUAACAUUUGAUUGGUUAAUCUAAAUGUGAAAUUGGGGGGGUUUCGCAAAACGUUUCUAAAAUGAAUAAUUGAGAUUUGAACAUCGAUUCUGAGUCUGAUUUGGGUGAAAGUUAUAUGGUUAGACUCGUAUUCGAAUGAGUUUUUAGAAUUUGUGAGUUUUGUCGGGUUCCGUUGUGCGGUCUCGGGUUGAAUUUUUUGUUGACUUUGAGUAUUGGAUUAAACAUUUGACCUUUAUUGUUUGGGUUUGAUUCAUAUGGCAUUAUUUGGUGAUGAGUUAUUUUUGGCAAGAUUCAAGUUGUUCGGAGGUCGAUCCGCGCGGGAAGGCAUUUUUAUAGUAUGGAUUUGGCUUGUUUGAGGUAAGUAUCUUACCUAAACUUUGUUGAGGCACUAGUUACCCGAGUUAUUACUGAUAGCUACGUGUUAUGGGUGGUGCACAUAUGAGGGGGUCGAGCCCAUGUGCGUGUACCGGGCUGUUAUUCAUGCUCGAGGUAGUGCUUAGGCUAUGAUCUGCCUUGAAUUUAUUGCUGAGCCUCAUGCUAUUAUGUUUCUUAUGUUUGUACCCCUUUGUGAGCUAAUUGGAGCAUGUUAUAUUUUACAUAUAGGCUAAUUCCCUAAUUGAACAUGAUAACUGCUAUUUUUGUGAUGAAAAUGCCUUAUUUGAGCUAUGGUAGUGCACUUCGCACAGGCAUACACCUUUGCAUGUCACUUAUAUCAGUCCAUGAGUAUGUAAUUUAAUAUAAAUUGUUCAUGCACAUAUAUUCUUGUAUAUAUGUCUUUUGUGUCAUAUGGACUGGACUGACACAUGAGUAGUCCAUGCGGAUCUAAGUUAUUAUUAGCAUGUGAGUUGUCCGUGAGGUUGUUAUUUUUAGCACGUGAGUUGUCUGUGCGUUUGUAAUUAUUGGCACGUCACUUAUCCGUGUAGCGUUUGGAUAAGGAUCCAUCCCCUUAGGGUCACGCUCUCAUGUUUCUCUCUAGAUGGUGUACACGCAGGUUGUGAGAAACCAACAGAUUUCUGGUUGAUGUGGAUUUUUGUUAAGUUGAUCAUUGGUUGGACUUUGUAUCUCUUCUCUAUUUACAAACUCCUUGGACAUAUACUUUAUUUUUCUCCAUAUCUUCUCUAUAUGCGAUCUCCGAAAUUUAUACAUGCCUUUAUGCAUAUCUUCUCUAUAUGCUACAUUACUUGAUGCGAUGAGACACUGUACAUAUCUUCUCUAUAUGUGAAUCUGUGUGACUUGACUUGUGUAAUCACGCAUAUAUUCUCAAUAUACACUUGAUGAAGGAUAAAUUUCUAUUUCACGCAUAUCUUCCCUAUGUGCAAGUUUGACGAUUUAAUGAUAUUGGACGCAUAUCGUCUCUAUAUAUUGUUAAUUGAUUCAGGACUUCACACAAUAAUUCUUUGUGCUCCAAUGUGGUUUAAUCUGUGUUAUAUGAUUAGAUGGCACCAUUGCUAUGUACUUGUGAAAUUCAGGAAUGGAACAGGUUAUUAAUGAGUAUCAUUGACUAUUCUUGCCUCUAUCACCUCACCAAGGUUAGUUAUGAUACUUACUUGGUAUAUGCAGUCUGUUGUACUCAUACUACACUUCUGUAACAUGCAUGUAGAUCUUAGAGCCGAGUUGUUGUGGAUGACAGAAUCUGGCACUGAAGUUGUACGUGUUUUCCGG
This 29142-nucleotide long non-coding RNA is filed under the name Nicotiana tabacum (common tobacco). Its description in RNAcentral is "long non-coding RNA (NTAB_LNC000818)". Lineage: Eukaryota; Viridiplantae; Streptophyta; Magnoliopsida; Solanales; Solanaceae. The record is from RNAcentral.